RNAcentral lists this ribosomal RNA (485 nucleotides) under uncultured bacterium. Its description in RNAcentral is "bacterial SSU rRNA". It matches the Rfam family "Bacterial small subunit ribosomal RNA", at positions 8 to 507 of the family's 1533-position model. The record is from RNAcentral.
AGAGUUUGAUCCUGGCUCAGAACGAACGCUGGCGGCGCGUCUUAAACAUGCAAGUCGAACGAUCUGUAGCAAUACAGGGAGUGGCGGACGGGUGAGGAACACGUAGGAAUCUACCUUGAAGAGCGGGACAACUUUGGGAAACCGGGGCUAAUACCGCAUAGUACAGAGAUGUUAAAGGGCUAGCAAUAGUCGCUUCGAGAUGAGCCUGCGGUCUAUCAGCUUGUUGGUGAGGUAAUGGCUCACCAAGGCUACGACGGAUAGCCGGUCAGAGAGGAUGAUCGGCCACACUGGCACUGAGACACGGGCCAGACUCCUACGGGAGGCAGCAGUUAAGAAUCUUGCGCAAUGGGGGAAACCCUGACGCAGCGACGCCGCGUGAAGGAUGAAGGCUUCGGGUUGUAAACUUCGGUAGACUGGGAAGAAGAAAUACGUUCGUUGAGGGCGUAUAGUGACGGUACCAGUCUGAAGCCCCGGCUAAUUACGUG